This 71-nucleotide transfer RNA is filed under the name Loxodonta africana (African savanna elephant). It matches the Rfam family "tRNA". Rfam says of the family: Transfer RNA (tRNA) molecules are approximately 80 nucleotides in length. Their secondary structure includes four short double-helical elements and three loops (D, anti-codon, and T loops). Lineage: Eukaryota; Metazoa; Chordata; Mammalia; Proboscidea; Elephantidae. The record is from Rfam by way of RNAcentral.
GCAUUGGUGGUUCAAUGGUAGAAUUCUUGCCUACCAUGCAGGAGACUCUCGUUUGAUUUCCGGCCAACGCA